GAUGAACGCUGGCGGCGUGCCUAAUACAUGCAAGUCGAGCGAACAGACGAGGAGCUUGCUCCUCUGACGUUAGCGGCGGACGGGUGAGUAACACGUGGAUAACCUACCUAUAAGACUGGGAUAACUUCGGGAAACCGGAGCUAAUACCAGAUAACAUGUUGAACCGCAUGGUUCAACAGUGAAAGACGGUCUUGCUGUCACUUAUGGAUGGAUCCGCGCCGCAUUAGCUAGUUGGUAAGGUAACGGCUUACCAAGGCAACGAUGCGUAGCCGACCUGAGAGGGUGAUCGGCCACACUGGAACUGAGACACGGUCCAGACUCCUACGGGAGGCAGCAGUAGGGAAUCUUCCGCAAUGGGCGAAAGCCUGACGGAGCAACGCCGCGUGAGUGAUGAAGGUCUUCGGAUCGUAAAACUCUGUUAUUAGGGAAGAACAAAUGUGUAAGUAACUAUGCACGUCUUGACGGUACCUAAUCAGAAAGCCACGGCUAACUACGUGCCAGCCGCCGCAGUAA
Molecule: ribosomal RNA, 513 nt
Filed under: uncultured bacterium
Lineage: Bacteria
Description: partial 16S ribosomal RNA
Rfam family: Bacterial small subunit ribosomal RNA
Source: RNAcentral